UAAACUAGUAUAACAGAGGAACAUGAUUACCGUACAAAUGCACCAUACGUUUCUCAGUGAUGAAUACUAGACGUUUCCUUUUUAAACAGUAUUCUUAGUUACAAUACUAUCGAACGUUUCUGUAUCAAUCACUAGACUAGUCAUGAUUCUUGUAGCCCGGUUUGUUUUAAUAUAAAAAUGAUUGAAACCUUUGAGAAAUAUACACUAGACUAAAUUGUAUUUAGAAUAAGAAAACGAAUGUCUUAGUAAUUUUCUUUACUAUUAUUAUGUUGUUUUUUUAAUAAAGGCUAGAGGUAAACGGGAGGGUUGAGAUCUCACAAAACAUGUUUAACCGCGCCGCAUUUUUGAGUCUGUCCAAAGUCAGGUGCCUCUGGCCUUUGUGAGUAGUGUUGUAUGAUUUUUAAAUUUAGUUCCUUUUUUAUGUUUAGGAGUUUAGUAUGACGUAACUGAACUUUUUUCGUUUAGGGGCCUGCUGAAGCAUUUCUUUCGCUGUGUUGAAUACCCAUGUAUGCCUUCAGCUGUUCUCUGCUCUUUGUUCCAGUUGUUGUCUCUUUGACACAUUCCCAAUUUCCCUUCUCAAUUUUAUUCUUAGAAACUUCUACAAGAUUAUAUUGUGUCCUUGAUGUUUUUCACUUUUGAUCAGAUCUUUUAAGUUUUAAAGAAACCUGAUUUUCUUCUUGGUAAAGGCCAAUCCACUCUUCAUGACAUGGCUGCUGCUGUUCUUCUUCAGGUCUCUAAUGCUAAUGUCAGCGAUGAACAGAGAUACUUACUUUAAUUUAAAUGUCUGUUUUACGGCUAAACAACCAGCGGACGAAUAUUUGACAAAUUUAAUGUACUUGAAUUUUUACUUUUUUUUUUUUAAAUAUUGGAUGCGCCACUGCGGGACGUCUUUAUAGAAGCACAUUUU
RNAcentral lists this long non-coding RNA (907 nucleotides) under Mytilus galloprovincialis (Mediterranean mussel). Lineage: Eukaryota; Metazoa; Mollusca; Bivalvia; Mytilida; Mytilidae. The record is from RNAcentral.